This 229-nucleotide ribosomal RNA is filed under the name uncultured bacterium. Its description in RNAcentral is "partial 16S ribosomal RNA". It matches the Rfam family "Bacterial small subunit ribosomal RNA", at positions 568 to 796 of the family's 1533-position model. The record is from RNAcentral.
UGCGCAGGCGGAAUGAUUAGUCAGUGGUGAAAGCCCUCGGCUCAACCGAGGAACUGCCAUUGAUACUGUCAUUCUUGAGUACAGUUGUAGUGGGCGGAAUGCGUCAUGUAGCGGUGAAAUGCAUAGAGAUGACACAGAACACCGAUCGCGAAGGCAGCUCACUAAGCUGAAACUGACGCUCAGGCACGAAAGCGUGGGUAGCAAACAGGAUUAGAUACCCUGGUAGUCC